This 407-nucleotide ribosomal RNA is filed under the name Roseobacter sp. JL-135. RNAcentral's name for it is "bacterial SSU rRNA". It matches the Rfam family "Bacterial small subunit ribosomal RNA", at positions 942 to 1372 of the family's 1533-position model. The record is from RNAcentral. Lineage: Bacteria; Pseudomonadati; Pseudomonadota; Alphaproteobacteria; Rhodobacterales; Roseobacteraceae.
UGGUUUAAUUCGAAGCAACGCGCAGAACCUUACCAACCCUUGACAUCCUGUGCUACAUCCAGAGAUGGAUGGUUCCUUCGGGGACGCAGUGACAGGUGCUGCAUGGCUGUCGUCAGCUCGUGUCGUGAGAUGUUCGGUUAAGUCCGGCAACGAGCGCAACCCACAUCUUCAGUUGCCAGCAGUUCGGCUGGGCACUCUGGAGAAACUGCCCGUGAUAAGCGGGAGGAAGGUGUGGAUGACGUCAAGUCCUCAUGGGCCUUACGGGUUGGGCUACACACGUGCUACAAUGGCAGUGACAAUGGGUUAAUCCCCAAAAACUGUCUCAGUUCGGAUUGUUCUCUGCAACUCGAGAGCAUGAAGUCGGAAUCGCUAGUAAUCGCGUAACAGCAUGACGCGGUGAAUACGUU